This 272-nucleotide unclassified non-coding RNA is filed under the name uncultured fungus. Its description in RNAcentral is "sequence contains ITS2". The record is from RNAcentral. Lineage: Eukaryota; Fungi.
AACGCAUAUUGCGCCCAUUAGUAUUCUAUUGGGCAUGCCUGUUCGAGCGUCAUUUCAACCCUCAAGCCCGUUUGGUGCUUGGUGUUGGGGUAUUCUAUAGAGGGGUUUCCCCUCAAAUAGGCCCUGAAAAUCAGUGGCAGGUCCGCCGAGACUCCGAACGUAGUAGCUUGUUUUCUCGUUCAGGGCGUCUAGGCGGAGCUUCUCGCCGUUAAACCCCAUUAUAUUUUUACAAGGUUGACCUCGAAUCAGGUAGGAAUACCCGCUGAACUUAA